AAGGAGGUGGAAGAGGGAAUGGACAAAGCUCGCAAGCUUUUCCAAACAACAAACCCGCAGGCAUAAGAGAGGGAUGCCAAGAGCCACAUGUCUUUAAUUUCCAUUAGAACCAAAGCAUAAAAGGCAUAGAAAACUUCCCCCAAAGUUCACGGAUAAACACUUAAACCAGGAACCAAAGAGGCAGCUAGCAGACCGAGUAUUUCAAAGCAACAAAGCCACAGAUUUCGGAAAAACAGCCAGCUCCUCACGGAACCAAGGAGCCAGCACCUCAGGCCGUGAGUUCAAAGCAUCACAGCAACGGGAAAAGCUUCCCAUUUCGGAAAUCAGCCCCAUUUAAAAUCAGAACAGGAAUCAAAGGGCUAAUUCAUGGAACCAAGGAGUCCAUGUCUCG
Dendrobium catenatum is the source of this 391-nucleotide long non-coding RNA. RefSeq lists it as uncharacterized. Lineage: Eukaryota; Viridiplantae; Streptophyta; Magnoliopsida; Asparagales; Orchidaceae. The transcript is spliced from 2 exons. The record is from RefSeq and is a predicted model, not a curated record.